AUUUCAGUUGACCUCUCUCUCUCUCUCUCUCUCUCUCUCUCUCUCUCCGUGCAUCUCUUCGUCGAACAAAUUGGAGCUCUGAUUCUUUAGCUGAGCAAAACAAAUCUCACCACAGAGCUCCUAUCUGUCUAUAGCCUUUUCUUAUCCAGAUAGAAAUUAGAUGCUAUGCCAGAUGGUCUUUGGGCUUAAAGCUGAGCAAAACAAAUCUCACCACAGAUUGGGUUGGUUUCUUUUUUAUGAGUUUCAGAUCUGUGAUUUCAGGUAAAAUGGUAAUGUGAAAGGUACAUGACCAUUUUUAAGAACAGGGACAUGGCGAGCACGCCCAGCACGCCAAGGAACACGGCGACCAUUAAUCCAUUCAAAACGGUAAUAUUUUCAGUGAAGAAUAUAAAGAAGGGGUUAUCUAAAUGCAAAAGCAAGCAGCUCAGUGCCCCACAAGUUUGAAUUCAGGUGAUUCUAAAUCUGAAAUUACCUUUAAGAUGUAUUGGACAAACUGCCAGGACCUUGAUCAAGGAUGAGGGUUUUGGUUCAUUGUAUAAGCUGGACAAGCUGCAGAGUCAUGUUCUACGGUAUUCUGUUUUGAAGUUUGCUCCUCUCUUAGGUAAAAUCCAUCUUCAAUACUUAUAAUUUAGUGUUGCUUUUUAUCUCAGAAUUGAAGAAAAUACCAUUAUUUGGGAAAUAACAGCUAGCUGGUAUGUAAUAUAGUAAGAAGAGUUAAAGGGAGCUGCAUCUGUUUGAAAUGAGAUCAGUUUGAAAGAACUUUAAUGAAGUAACUAAUAGAGUUAGUUAAUUUCAACUAUCUAGAAUUUGUACAAGUAUUUUGUUUUUUUGACCUUGAUUAUGAUGACUUUCUUAUGUGUUAGUUACUUGUAGUGUUGCUGGAAACUGGAAGGUCACUGGACUAAUGUUUUGGAGAAAAUGAAGAGGAUGAAAGAUUUCAGGGCAAAGCUCGUUGAAGAGGCAUAUCAGUGAGUACUCAUCUUCAGUCAUACAAGUAACUUUGUGUGACAAGCUUCCAAUAAUAGUCGAGCAAAAUUAAAAUCUUUUUAGUGGAUGAUCUUUAACAAAUUACAGGGGUGUAUUUUACUAGCAAAAACAAUGGCAUACUUUGUACCAGGAUUGAUAAUGUUGAAGGCAUAGAUGACUUCCCAGGUGUCUUGGUAUGGAGGAUUUAAAUUGAUGCCUUGAUUUUCAUGGACCUCUACUUAGAGAGUAUCUUCUGUAUAUGUUAUUAAGGAACUAAACAUCUUCCAAGAUCUUUUGUUCUUGCAGUUGAGGAACUAUAUGUAAUAAUUAUUCUUCAUUUAAUAUAAGUCCAAAAGUGUUAUUGAUAAUUCUUUAGUUAUGCCUUUUAUUUGUUGUUUAUCUUCAAGGCUUCUGGCAAGUAAAAUAACAGCAUAUAAAAAAAAAUUAGAAUUGUGAAAUGAACAACAUAUUCUUAACUAUGAGGAUACAAGA
This is a long non-coding RNA of Rosa chinensis, 1458 nucleotides long. RefSeq lists it as uncharacterized. The transcript has 4 exons. The record is from RefSeq and is a predicted model, not a curated record. Lineage: Eukaryota; Viridiplantae; Streptophyta; Magnoliopsida; Rosales; Rosaceae.